GACAAUGUGGUGUAGUGGUUUGGUUGCUGGACUAUGACUCUGGAGAUCAAGGUUUGAUUCCUACCUUGGCCA
This is a non-coding RNA of Phrynosoma platyrhinos (Desert horned lizard), 72 nucleotides long. The record is from the annotation of a GenBank genome assembly. Lineage: Eukaryota; Metazoa; Chordata; Lepidosauria; Squamata; Phrynosomatidae.